Molecule: ribosomal RNA, 137 nt
Filed under: uncultured bacterium
Lineage: Bacteria
Description: partial 16S ribosomal RNA
Rfam family: Bacterial small subunit ribosomal RNA
Source: RNAcentral
UGGGGGAUAUUGCACAAUGGGGGAAACCCUGAUGCAGCAACGCCGCGUGAGGGAAGAAGGUUUUCGGAUUGUAAACCUCUGUCCUUGGUGAAGAUAAUGACGGUAGCCAAGGAGGAAGCUCCGGCUAACUACGUGCC